AUCUGCUACUGCUAAUCUAUCUAUUACUGCUAAUCUAUUACUGCUGUCAAUCUAUCUAUCACUGCUAAUCUAUUACUGUCAAUCUAUCUACUGCUGUUAAUCUAUCUAUCACUGUUAAUCUAUCACUGCUAAUCUAUCACUGCUAAUCUAUUGCUGUUAAUCUACCACUGUCAAUCUAUCUACCACUGUCAAUCUAUCUAUCACUGCUAAUCUAUUGCUGCUAAUCUAUCACUGUCAAUCUAUCUACCACUGUCAAUCUAUCUAUCACUGCUAAUCUAUCACUGCUAAUCUAUCACUGCUAAUCUAUUGCUGCUAAUCUAUUACUGUCAAUCUAUCUACUGCUGUCAAUCUAUCUACCACUAUCAAUCUAUCUAUCACUGUCAAUCUAUAUAGAAUAAAUUAUAGUCUCAUUUGAUUCUAUUUUAUAAAAUAAGAUUAAAUGAAAUCAGAAUCAUUAAUUUAUUAGUAAAAUAUAAUCUGAGACUAGAUUUAUAAUAUAAACAGUGUAAAAUAAUUAAUUUACUAAACACUAUA
This 534-nucleotide small RNA is filed under the name Histoplasma capsulatum. RNAcentral's name for it is "hypothetical RNA". The record is from RNAcentral. RNAcentral also lists the same sequence under 1 other name. Lineage: Eukaryota; Fungi; Ascomycota; Eurotiomycetes; Onygenales; Ajellomycetaceae.